Phasianus colchicus (ring-necked pheasant) is the source of this 1007-nucleotide long non-coding RNA. RefSeq lists it as uncharacterized. NCBI's taxonomy places the organism in Eukaryota, Metazoa, Chordata, Aves, Galliformes, Phasianidae. The record is from RefSeq and is a predicted model, not a curated record.
CAACAAAGUCCCAGGUGCUUGUUAUAUGGAGAUGAUAAUUAAGGUACUGUUUUGUGGAAGUAGACUUGCUUUAAGAAAAGCAGCUCCUCCAGCACUUGGGCUGCAGGAGAAGCUGUGUCAUAGUUAAUCGUAGGGCUGCUCUUUGUAAAGCAAACUCUUCUCUUCCAGCAGCCUGAGGAGCUCUGGAGGUGGGGAGGUGCCGCGUGUGGUCAGCUCUGCACUGUGCUGCUCUGCUCUCUGGGAGAUGCAGUACUGCUCACUGCAAAUGAAGAGGAACACAGCAUCCUCAGGGCAUUAAAGCAAAUAUAAAAGGCAAUGAAACGUUGCAUCCCAGCUGCUUUCAGCUCCAAAUUGCAAAGCUCAGACAUACUCUCUUUCAAACCAGACGUCUGCAAUGGACUUUUGCAGCCACGUGGGUUCACACCCAGCACUGCUGUGCCCUGAGGAUGUUGCACGGUGCCUUGAGGAUGCUGCCCACCCCCUGUGGUUCUCUGCUGCUCUCCAUUGCACUUCCUGAGGGAAGGGGAAAUGGCUCAGAUUGUGAAUGUGCAAGCAGCUUUACCUGGAGAAGCUCUCAUGACCUUUCAAGGGCUGUAGGAGACCUAUACCCAGCGCCAGGAGCUGUGCUUGUUGAGAAGCAGGAGCAGACGGGAACAAGCACUUAAAAAUGUACACUGCUAAGACUGUGAUAACAGGACCUGGGGAGAAAGGCUUCAUAACUAUCAGUUUUUGGCAUGUAGUUCUACACUGUCUGGUAAUACAGGUGAAUCAUGUCUUUUGAAACCCUUUCUUUAAAAUUAGCUUAAAUGAAGGCGCAGGAGUGAGCGUUCUUGACCCUGGGCACUUCUACAGAAUGUACAGUGAAGCUGAUUGCUGAAUUAUCUGGCUUCUAUUUGUGAGAUGGGGAAAAGUCCUGCAGGCACGUGGAAGGUAUCCUGGAACUAAGGCAGGCAGUGAUGUGCCCGUGACAGCUGACCUCAUCCUGGCUGGGUGGAUUCAUGCCCUUA